This 70-nucleotide transfer RNA is filed under the name Lariscus insignis (three-striped ground squirrel). RNAcentral describes it as "tRNA-Phe". It matches the Rfam family "tRNA". From Rfam's summary of the family: Transfer RNA (tRNA) molecules are approximately 80 nucleotides in length. Their secondary structure includes four short double-helical elements and three loops (D, anti-codon, and T loops). Further hydrogen bonds mediate the characteristic L-shaped molecular structure. tRNAs have two regions of fundamental functional importance: the anti-codon, which is responsible for specific mRNA codon recognition, and the 3' end, to which the tRNAs corresponding amino acid is attached (by aminoacyl-tRNA synthetases). tRNAs cope with the degeneracy of the genetic code in two manners: having more than one tRNA (with a specific anti-codon) for a particular amino acid; and 'wobble' base-pairing, i.e. permitting non-standard base-pairing at the 3rd anti-codon position. The record is from RNAcentral. Lineage: Eukaryota; Metazoa; Chordata; Mammalia; Rodentia; Sciuridae.
GUUGAUGUAGCUUAAACNAUAAAGCAAUGCACUGAAAAUGCUUAGAUGGGUGCUCCUCACCCCAUAAACA